CAGUCGCCACGGUAAUACGAAGGGGGCUAGCGUUGCUCGGAAUGACUGGGCGUAAAGGGCGCGUAGGCGGCGAUCAAAGUCAGGCGUGAAAUUCCUGGGCUCAACCUGGGGGCUGCGCUUGAUACUUGGUUGCUUGAGUGGGGAAGAGGGUCGUGGAAUUCCCAGUGUAGAGGUGAAAUUCGUAGAUAUUGGGAAGAACACCGGUGGCGAAGGCGGCGACCUGGUCCUUGACUGACGCUGAGGCGCGAAAGCGUGGGGAGCAAACAGGAUUAGAUACCCGUGUAGUCCCUGUCUCUUAUAC
RNAcentral lists this ribosomal RNA (301 nucleotides) under uncultured bacterium. RNAcentral's name for it is "partial 16S ribosomal RNA". It matches the Rfam family "Bacterial small subunit ribosomal RNA", at positions 509 to 807 of the family's 1533-position model. The record is from RNAcentral.